GCACUGUUGAGGAAUCCCACAACAGGGCGAAACGGUCGUCCAGUGC
Molecule: non-coding RNA, 46 nt
Filed under: Schistosoma bovis
Lineage: Eukaryota; Metazoa; Platyhelminthes; Trematoda; Strigeidida; Schistosomatidae
Also listed under: 2 other names
Source: RNAcentral